GAUGAAGAACGUAGCGAAAUGCGAUACGUAAUGUGAAUUGCAGAAUUCAGUGAAUCAUCGAAUCUUUGAACGCACAUUGCGCCUGCCAGCACUCUGGCAGGCAUGCCUGUUCGAGCGUCAUUUCAACCAUCAAGCCCUAGGCUUGCGUUGGAGCCCUGCGGCUGCCGCAGGCCCCUAAAAGCAGUGGCGGGCUCGCUAUCACACCGAGUGCAGUAGAUUACUCUUCGCUCAGGGCGUGUGGCGGGUUCCAGCCGUGAAACCCCCUACUUCUCAAGGUUGACCUCGGAUCAGGUAGGAAUACCCGCUGAACUUAAGCAUCCCAAUCAGCGGAGUA
RNAcentral lists this unclassified non-coding RNA (334 nucleotides) under soil metagenome. RNAcentral's name for it is "partial contains 5.8S ribosomal RNA, internal transcribed spacer 2, and large subunit ribosomal RNA". The stretch from base 1 to 120 matches the Rfam family "5.8S ribosomal RNA", at positions 35 to 154 of the family's 154-position model. The record is from RNAcentral.